Molecule: ribosomal RNA, 466 nt
Filed under: uncultured bacterium
Lineage: Bacteria
Description: partial 16S ribosomal RNA
Rfam family: Bacterial small subunit ribosomal RNA
Source: RNAcentral
GAUGAACGCUGGCGGCGUGCUUAACACAUGCAAGUCGAACGAUGAAGCCCAGCUUGCUGGGUGGAUUAGUGGCGAACGGGUGAGUAACACGUGAGUAACCUGCCCUUAACUCUGGGAUAAGCCUGGGAAACUGGGUCUAAUACCGGAUAGGAGCGUCCACCGCAUGGUGGGUGUUGGAAAGAUUUAUCGGUUUUGGAUGGACUCGCGGCCUAUCGGCUUGUUGGUGAGGUAAUGGCUCACCAAGGCGACAACGGGUAGCCGGCCUGAGAGGGUGACCGGCCACACUGGGACUGAGACACGGCCCAGACUCCUACGGGAGGCAGCAGUGGGGAAUAUUGCACAAUGGGCGCAAGCCUGAUGCAGCGACGCCGCGUGAGGGAUGACGGCCUUCGGGUUGUAAACCUCUUUCAGUAGGGAAGAAGCGAAAGUGACGGUACCUGCAGAAGAAGCACCGGCUAACUACGUG